Molecule: long non-coding RNA, 771 nt
Organism: Chenopodium quinoa (quinoa)
Lineage: Eukaryota; Viridiplantae; Streptophyta; Magnoliopsida; Caryophyllales; Amaranthaceae
Exons: 3
Source: RefSeq, a predicted model, not a curated record
GGUUAACCGUUGCCAACUUAAAAAUAAAAAAAAUCGGGUAUGCAUGCUCUUCAUUCAAUUCUCUCUUCUCUGAACUUCUUAUGCUCUUCAUUGCUUCCCUCUUCAUUACUCCUCUUCAUUGCUUCCCUCUUCCAUUGAAGCCAUACGCACCCCCCUUCCAUACGCAAUUCGUCGCCGCCCUUCCAUUGAAGCAUCUUCGAGGAGACAAGAAAGAUUGGAAUUUCUGUAUGUUUCUGGAUUAGUUGUUAGGAAACCCACUUCUGAUGGAUUUCAGGGACUUGGAUCUUUGCCUGGUGUUGAUAAUUUGGCUUCAGCAGCAUCACCGGCGUCAGCAUCAGCAUCAGCGGUUCCUAAGGCAGCCUCGGAAUUGAAAUCAAAGUUGCAGCUACUCGGAAAAUGGUGGAAGAUAUAAAUUAUUCAACACUAAUUUAGAGGAAAAUAAUUUAAAUCUUAUGGUAGUCUUAAGUAAACUUGUGAUGCUAACUACCACAAGGAAGCUGAUUCAAUCAAACCCGGAAAUAGCGGAAGCCAUGGCUGUGCAAUAUGCCUUAACGAUUCUUCACAAAUUUGGGUAUGAUCGAGUAUGGGUUGAAUCGGAUGCCCUCAAUGUGAUAUCCACCAUUAACCAAGGAAAAGCUACCUUUGCCUUUUAAAAAACAAAAAAAAAGUAAACUUGUUUUAUUAUUAUUAUUACAACUGAGAUUUGCUUUUGUUGCUUUGUUUUUAGUUAUUAGGUAACAAUGAAAGCAGGCUUUUGCUGAUUGUAUAUUA